UACGUAGGAAGCGAGCGUUGUCCGGAAUUAUUGGGCGUAAAGGGCUCGUAGGCGGUUUGUCGCGUCGGGCGUGAAAUCCACUGGCUUAACUGGUGGCUUGCUUUCGAUACGGGCAGACUGGAGGUAUGCAGGGGAGAACGGAAUUCCUGGUGUAGCGGUGAAAUGCGCAGAUAUCAGGAGGAACACCGGUGGCGAAGGCGGUUCUCUGGGCAUGUCCUGACGCUGAGGAGCGAAAGUGUGGGGAGCGAACAGG
Molecule: ribosomal RNA, 253 nt
Filed under: uncultured bacterium
Lineage: Bacteria
Description: partial 16S ribosomal RNA
Rfam family: Bacterial small subunit ribosomal RNA
Source: RNAcentral